Aegilops tauschii subsp. strangulata is the source of this 1552-nucleotide RNA transcript. RefSeq lists it as uncharacterized. The record is from RefSeq and is a predicted model, not a curated record. Lineage: Eukaryota; Viridiplantae; Streptophyta; Magnoliopsida; Poales; Poaceae.
UUGUUAAAGACCAAAAAUCGUGAGGCGAGCCUCGCUCGGUACUUUAUUUUACAGCCGCUGCGCCUGCUCUUCACCGCCACCGCUUCCCGUCGGCGGCCGCCCAAACCCCGGAACCCUCUCGGCCAAUGCCGGCGCCGCUCGCCGCCUCCUGGCGCCGGCAUGCCUCCGCCGCGGCGUCCUCCUCCACUCCCAGGACCCUCCUCUUGCUCGUCCCGGUUCUCAUCCUCCUCGUCUUCGUCCUCUCCAGAGCCCCAGAUCUCACCUUCUCCCCCGCCACUGCCGCCUCGCCCCGCCUCCCGGCCCGGCUCCGCCCCUUCGACUGCUACGCCUCGCCGCAGGCCUCCCCGGUCUUGGCCAGCCUCGUGGAGGGCGUGCCCCGCCCCUUCCUCUACUCCCUCGCCGACCUGGGGCCCCUCCCCGACCGCCCGCACCGGAACAUCGCCCGCCUCCUCAAGGGCAAGCGCUUCCGCAAGCCCGACAUCUCCCAGACCAUCCAGGAACUGCUCGCGGGGGAGGUAGGGAGGGGCUCCGGCGGCGGGGUGGUGGUGGACGUCGGGGCCAAUGUUGGGAUGGCGGCCUUCGCGGCGGCCGUGAUGGGGUUCCGGGUGGUGGCAUUCGAGCCGGUCUUCGAGAACCUGCAGCGGAUCUGCGAUGGAGUGUACCUGAACCGGGUGCAGGACCAGGUGGUGGUGUAUCAUGCUGCAGCAUCUGACCGAGCUGGGAACAUCACAAUGCAUAAGGUGAUUGGACGACUCGACAACAGUGCUAUAUCUGCAACUGGUGCGAAGUUGGCAUUCAAAUCUAAUGAAGAAGUUGCUGUUGAGGUUGCUACAAUCCCAUUGGAUGAAGUCAUUCCAGAUGCAGAGCGAGUGGUUCUGAUCAAAAUUGAUGUUCAAGGUUGGGAAUCUCAUGUUCUGAGAGGUGCAUCAAAGUUGCUCUCAAGGAGGAGGGGUGAAGCUCCCUACCUUAUAUACGAAGAGGACGAGCGCCUGCUGCAGGCGAGCAACAGUAGUGCACAAGAGAUGAGGGCAUUUCUUGGCAGUGUUGGUUACAAUCAAUGUACACGGCAUGGGACGGAUGCUCACUGUACAAAAGAAUAGACAAAGCCUUUCUGCCUGGUGGUUGGACGCCCCUCAGCUGGGGAUACAUAGAACAGUCAAAUAGGAUAUCCUGAGCUAUUUGGGUCCCAAAACUAUUCCAAGUCGUUCACUGCAGGUCCUAAGGUCGCCCGUACAGUGAUUGUUGGCUGAUGUGUGCCUGGACUAGUGCCACAACGACCCAGGGCAUGUGGUGGAAGAAUUCCUGCCACUGGCGGUUGAGACAUUUUGCAAUUUGGUCCAUUAUAUUCUUUGCUUUCUCCAGCCGCUCUCACCUCUCUUUCAUCAGUUCUGCUAUCCGCCGCCGCUGCCAUGUCUGGAAACUAUGCGAGCUCGACGGCAGCAAGACGCAGCAGGAACAAGCCGGCGCGACAAAUGAUCUAGCAAACUGAAUGAUAAUUGACUGAGAGAAUUUGUUUAGACAAAUGACAAAUGAAUAUAUAUUUCACACCCUC